This 97-nucleotide signal recognition particle RNA is filed under the name Gammaproteobacteria bacterium RIFCSPHIGHO2_12_FULL_45_9. RNAcentral's name for it is "signal recognition particle sRNA small type". It matches the Rfam family "Bacterial small signal recognition particle RNA". From Rfam's summary of the family: The signal recognition particle (SRP) is a universally conserved ribonucleoprotein involved in the co-translational targeting of proteins to membranes. Archaeal SRP consists of a 7S RNA and homologues of the eukaryotic SRP19 and SRP54 proteins. In most bacteria, the SRP consists of a 4.5S RNA and the Ffh protein (a homologue of the eukaryotic SRP54 protein). The record is from RNAcentral. Lineage: Bacteria; Pseudomonadati; Pseudomonadota; Gammaproteobacteria.
UAGAGGUCCCCUCGCAAUGAUAGGUUGCAAACCCCGCCAGGCCCGGAAGGGAGCAACGGUAGUGACUGAUUCGUGUGCGAAGGCCAGGCUUUUACGG